Molecule: long non-coding RNA, 1455 nt
Filed under: Sus scrofa (pig)
Lineage: Eukaryota; Metazoa; Chordata; Mammalia; Artiodactyla; Suidae
Description: lncRNA (ENSSSCG00040051299.1)
Source: RNAcentral
AUGACUGAGGAAGAGACUGGUAUACAACAACCUGGGAGAAGAGAUGUAUUGAGCAGCAGAACCAUCCCUGUGAUUACCCCUCCAGUCUCAGAGCAUCUCUACCGUGACACAGGAAGAGUAGAGGUCUGCAGAAACCGAGGUAAUGAAAGGACCUAUAAAAGGUUUCAUAUUUUAUACAUGGUUUGCUGUUCUAGCUACUAUAGCUGUCUAAUUACCCUAAAAGUAUGUGGUAGAAAUAGCACUAAUGUGCAUGGUUGCCCUGGGUUAAGAUAUGGACAGUAUGGGAGUUCCCGUCAUGGCUCAGUGGUUAAUGAACCUAGCUAGUAUCCAUGAGGACUCAGGUUCGAUCCCUGGCCUCCCUCAGUAGGUUAAGGAUCCAGCUUUGCCAUGAGCUGUGGUGUAGGCUGCAGAUGCGACUCAGAUCCCGUAUUGCUCGGGCUGUGGCAUAGGCCAGUGGCUACUGCUCUGAUUCAACCCUAGCCUGGGAUCCUCCAUAUGCCCUGGGUGCAGCCCUAAAAAGACCAAAAAAAAAAAAAAAAGGAGAAAAAGAAAGAUAUGGACAGUGUCUGAGGCCUCCACUAGAGGUCUUGAAGGCUGGGGUCUGGAAUCAUCUGAAGGCUCAUUCACAGAGACAUCUAGCAGUUGAUGCCAGCUGUUGGGUGGACUGUCAGUUCUUCUCCACUUCAACUUUCUCAUGUGGUUUCUCUGUGAGAGUUGGCUUGGACUUCCUCACAGCGUGACAGCUGAGUUCUGCAGGCAAGCGCUCCAAGAGAGGAAAUAUAUAGUUCCUUCUCGGACCUCGCCUCACAAGUCAUGGGUCAUUAUUUCUACUGCACCUUAUUCACUGAAGCAGUCACAAGUUCCAUUCAGGUCCAGGGAAAAACUAAAUAGAAUUCCCCCUCUUCUUGGAGAGAGGCAAAGUUCUGGAAAAAUGUGGGAUUGGAAAUUUUGAUGUGACUUUUUUGGGAAAAUACAAUCUGCUAUACUUAAAUUGCAGAUUGUAUAAGUUGCAAAGGGAGUAUAUACCAAGGUGCUUCCAAGACUCCGAAAUAAUUACACUUUGAAAUAGGGAAAGGUGAUGGUAUUGGGAAGGGGCACGAACAAGGUUGUGCUCUGCUGCCACAAACAAGGAUAGAUACUCGAUCUGGUUUUCUUGUGAGAUCCCUGAGAGGAAGUCCAAGGAAAAGGAGGGCCAGAGGAAGGAACCUGGGUAAAUAAUGGUUACCAGGUUGGUUGAAACUCCCUGCCCCAUGACAGAGACCUUAAGUUUAAGCAGUUGAAUCUUCAGAAAAACUUCAGGACAAAGGUCUUAGGCAGAGAUUUAGUCAGCCCAUUUCUAAGAUAUAUGCAAAGUGCUUUGCUCAUACAGCAUUAGAAGCAUGUGUGGACAAGGGGGCCAUAGGAUUGCUGGGUGUUGGUGAGUAUCUUAGAAUAAAGAUUGUGUCUUUAGCUUCA